This 513-nucleotide ribosomal RNA is filed under the name uncultured bacterium. RNAcentral's name for it is "partial 16S ribosomal RNA". It matches the Rfam family "Bacterial small subunit ribosomal RNA", at positions 28 to 523 of the family's 1533-position model. The record is from RNAcentral.
GACGAACGCUGGCGGCAUGCCUAAUACAUGCAAGUCGAGCGAACAGAUGAAGUGCUUGCACUUAUGACGUUAGCGGCGAACGGGUGAGUAACACGUAAGGAAUCUACCUAUAAGCGGGGGAUAACAUUCGGAAACGGGUGCUAAUACCGCAUAAUAUCUUCUUCCGCAGGGAAGAAGAUUGAAAGACGGCCCUGCUGUCACUUAUAGAUGACCUUGCGGUGCAUUAGUUAGUUGGUGGGGUAAAGGCCUACCAAGACGAUGAUGCAUAGCCGGCCCGGGAGGGUGAUCGGGCACAUUGGGACUGGGACACGGCCCAAACUCCUACGGGAGGCAGCAGUAGGGAAUCUUCCGAAAUGGGCGAAAGCCUGACGGAGCAAUGCCGCGUGAGUGAAGAAGGCCUUCGGGUCGUAAAACUCUGUUAUAAGAGAAGAACAAAUUGUAGAGUAACUGCUACAGUCUUGACGGUAUCUUAUCAGAAAGCCACGGCUAACUACGUGCCAGCAGCCGCCGUAA